UCCACCACGGGCUUGGCUGCUCCUUCCUCCGCCUGCUCCCGUCUCUGCGCCUCACAGGCUAUUCCUGGAAAGAUAAAUGCUCACACGUGCACCUCCUUCUUCUAGAAGGAGGGAGGAUGUGGGAGAGCGGAACUGAGGGAACGACAACAAAAAAAGGCGUAGGAGGCUGAGACAAGAGAUUGAGACAAGACGAGGAAACUGAGUCAUGAGGAGUUUAAGAAGCUUUCCCAGGACCACCCAGAAGAGAACAAUUUCUGCGAUUGUUUUUCCUACCUUCACAAAGGGAAGAUGAGGGAAUCCAAGAAAGUGCUUGUUCUGUUUGAAAAUAACGCCAGAGACAUCAACAUCUGAAAUAACCCCUUUUCCUGAUUUCUUGGGGAUCCAAACAGAUAUGGGAAGUCAUGGCUCUGGAAGUUCCACACAGCUAUCCUCCUGGUGGGAGAGAGGGUGGCUUCCAAGCAAGGGCCCUCGCCCUGGCCCCGUUCUCUGCAGCUCAGCACCGGAGCCUCCGCAUCACCUGUGCUGCUCACUAGAAAGUGGACCUGACAGCUUUGGCAGGUACAGCCGUGGGCUACAAAACCCUUCAGGCUGAGGUUGCAAAUCAGGGCUCCCAGCUCCAGAGGUUAUUGCUCACUCCCUCCUCGGCGGUGGUGACUCACACAAUCUGUGUCUCUGUUUCCAGCACACACCACAGAAAACGUCUCGCCCUUUUCCACCUUGAGUUGGCCAUCAGUAUGAAGAGCAGACAGCUCUUUCUAAUGUGUGCUCCACAUAACACAAGUUCCAUCGGAUAUUAAUUAAAGCAGCUUUCCAUGGUCAAAUAAGGCAGGUCCGGGUUCCAACUUCUCAGAGUUCUUGACAUGUAAAGAUACUUCCUCCAUCUCCAAGAAGGAUGACAUUUUAAAAAUUGCUUUGAUUACAGAAGAUUUUUCCUCCUGGACCAAAAUUAGAGUACUAAGUGCUCCAUGCAACAGGCUUGGGGACGUGCUGCUCAAUGCUAUUAUAGGCUUGCAUUAACAUGCUGCUUAUUUACUUAGGAGGUAUGAGAAUAAGCUGUCUCACAGCUAUGCAGAUAACUGAAAAUUAACUCUGUCUUGAAUACCAUAUGGGCAUCAGUGUUUCUGGAACAUAUUACAUACUGUGAUAGGAUAACAUUUUAAGAUAGAUAUUCACCAUGUUUUUUGCUUCUUGCUGUUCUCUUUUUUUACUUUCCUUGUUUCAGGCAGGGUCAGCCCUCUUUGGGUCAUGGUCUCAGAGGAGGAAUAUGACAGGAUGGAAGGCAGAAGUCAUCUGUACAUCUCUCUGGCUUUUGAGCUCCAAAGGCCCAGACUUUAAAACAACUCGGAGGAUUUGUAGGGUGGGGUAAAAGAAAGAGGAUUCUGGAUAUAGAAACAUGAAAGGAGAAGGGUAACCCUUCAGAUGAAAAACAAGUGCACCCCUGGGCAGGGACAGAGGAGGGGAGAAUAGCAGGAAAGAGGAGGGAGAGAAGAGAAGGGAUGGAGGGAGAGGAGAAGGGCAGAGGGCAAGAGACAAACAGACAUCAUGAAGCUGGAAAGGAAACAGACACUGCGUGGUGCUUCCAGACAGCAGGGACCAAGCAUGACCAUGCAGAAAGAUCUCUCCCCUCCAGGACUGGGUCAGAAGCAGCAGUGAGCCCAGGCUGGGGAUGGGGAGCUGGCCAGCCACAGAGAGCUCACUAACAACCUGAGCGUGCAGGUGCUCAGGGACCCAGUGACCAGCUUGCCACUCAGCCCAGUGUUUUGAUAUUGUUGACAUCUCUUUGGACCCUGGGCAGAGCCUCAGGGUGGGUGGAGGGGUGCUGUGAGAACUUGAGAUUUCAAUCCCUAAUCAACGCAAUGGGAUGGGGGUUCCAGCAGAAACGAUUGGGAACUAAAGAAUGUCCAAUUUCCUGCAAAUCUUGCUUUUGUGAAGCAUCAUGCAGUCUUUUCUCUGGUUGGAGCUGGCUCAUAGUCAGGCCAUGAGGGUGGGUUCAGGAGGGAGCACCUUUGCCCCUAGGCCAAAGCUACAGGCUCCAGUAAUUCUUCAGUUUUUAUGUGUUUUUUUUUUUUUAUGUAGUUUUUCUGUUAUCAGCCCAACUUUCACUUAUUGAUAUUUAGCAUAGGUAUACGUAGCUCCCCUGCUUGCCCUUUCCUCUCCCUGUAAUGUGCUUUGGCCAGGAAACCAGGUGAGGAAGCUUCUUAGAAUUAUGCAUAAAGAGAGGAAAUCAGUUCUAAGAGCUGGCUCGUUUUCCUCAUCUACAAAAUGAGGGGGCUGUAAUAGAUCAUCGCUGAAGUCCAGUCCAGCUCUAACAUUUUAUGAUUCCUCUGAAUAAAGUA
This is a non-coding RNA of Microcebus murinus (gray mouse lemur), 2336 nucleotides long. Lineage: Eukaryota; Metazoa; Chordata; Mammalia; Primates; Cheirogaleidae. The record is from RefSeq and is a predicted model, not a curated record.